This 170-nucleotide non-coding RNA is filed under the name Yersinia bercovieri. The record is from RNAcentral. Lineage: Bacteria; Pseudomonadati; Pseudomonadota; Gammaproteobacteria; Enterobacterales; Yersiniaceae.
GGUACUUAUACACCUACGAGUUAAAAGGGAAUCCGGUGUAAAUCCGGAGCUGACGCGCAGCGGUAAGGGGAAGUCACGGCGAAAGGUUGCAACAGACACUGUCCACCAGGAUGGGAAGUCAUCGCCAGCUCUGUUCUCAGAGAUCCCAAGCCCGAAGACCUGCCGGUAUU